AGAGAGAGAGAGAGAGAGAGAGAGAAGGAAAGGGAGAGAGAGGAAAAUAGAGAGAGAAGGAUCGUGACUACCGUCAAUCGGCAGUCGAGAGAGAAGAGGAGGUCUGCGAAGUGGCUCAAGGCAUGUUCGGCUGUUCUGCGGCUCCCUUCGGUACGAUUCCACCAUAUUUAUGUCGGAUUUGAGGGCGCGAAGCACUCUGCGGUGAAUUUUGACCAAUCCGCAAUGGCGAUCAACAGUGAGCAGCGGCAACCGACGGUGGGCAGCGCCAGCGCGUGGUGGUCCAGUGGCAGCACGUGUGGCGGUGCGUGUGGAGGUGCACCGACUCCGGUGGUUGCGCAUAGUGAGUCCUAGGGACCCGGUUCGCGUAAGCGAGUUUAGAAAAUCCUGAUGGUUUACUAUUUUAAAUUUAGGAUUUAUUGAUCCUAUUUAAUUUUAAUAUAAUAAAUUAUGUAUCCAGUUUAAAAUUAAAAACAAGUCUAGACACGGGUGUUUGAAAUUAAGGAAUAACAAGUAUAUUACUAACCCGAUAUGGAUAUUACUAUAACAAGUUGAUCUUGUACAUCAGAGAUAAUUUUAUGAAUGAGAUUUAG
Molecule: long non-coding RNA, 590 nt
Filed under: Carica papaya (papaya)
Lineage: Eukaryota; Viridiplantae; Streptophyta; Magnoliopsida; Brassicales; Caricaceae
Description: long non-coding RNA (CPAP_LNC013365)
Source: RNAcentral